AUUCCAGCUCCAAUAGCGUAUAUUAAAGUUGUUGUGGUUAAAAAGCUCGUAGUUGGAUUUCGGCGGGUAGUGGUUGGUUUGAAUUGAUUCAACACUGACUUUUUUACCCGUGUGUUUUGCCAGAAUCUUACGGGUGAUCUUUACCGAUUGUCCGUUGGAACUGGCAGGUUUACUUUGAAAAAAUUAGAGUGCUCAAAGCAAGCUUACUGCUUGAAUAGUUGCGCAUGGAAUAAUAGAAUAGGAAGUCGUUUCUAUUUUGUUGGUUUUCGGAAAUCGACUUAAUGAUUAAUAGGGAUAGUUGGGGGCAUUAGUAUUUAUUAGCUAGAGGUGGAAUUCUCUAAUUUGAUAAAGACUAACUUAUGCGAAAGCAUUUGCCAAGGAUGUUUUCAUCA
This 392-nucleotide ribosomal RNA is filed under the name Centropages sp. RNAcentral describes it as "partial small subunit ribosomal RNA". It matches the Rfam family "Eukaryotic small subunit ribosomal RNA", at positions 582 to 975 of the family's 1831-position model. Lineage: Eukaryota; Metazoa; Arthropoda; Copepoda; Calanoida; Centropagidae. The record is from RNAcentral.